Molecule: ribosomal RNA, 981 nt
Filed under: Triticum aestivum (bread wheat)
Lineage: Eukaryota; Viridiplantae; Streptophyta; Magnoliopsida; Poales; Poaceae
Description: partial small subunit ribosomal RNA
Source: RNAcentral
AUGCAUGGUGGCCUACGUAUUCUCAACUUGGAAAAAUUUGCUACUGCCCUUCGGAUCCGGUGGUUAUGGGGAGCUUGGACGGAUCCAAGUAAGCCUUGGGUAAACUUGGGGAACCCGUGUGAUGACAAAGAUAAAGACAUAUCUGCUGCUGCCACCAAGGUUCUGAUUGGAGAUGGGAUAAGGGCUUCGUUUUGGGAGUCUACUUGGCUGAAUGGUAUGAGACCCAAAGACAUAGCGCCAAAUAUUUUUGCGAUCUCUGCAAGAAAAAAUUGCACUGUCCAGAAGGCCUUACAUAAUAACACAUGGGUCUCCAGAGUGCACAUUGGUGGGAACCUUGAUGUGAACCACAUAGCCGAGUUCGUCAACCUUUGGAGUGAGCUAUCACACAUUCACCUCAACCCCGGCGUGGCUGAUUCAAUUUCCUGGAAGCUCACCAAUGAUGGCCAAUAUUCAGCGGCGACGGUAUACCAUGCACAAUUUCUUGGCCUUAUCGACUCAGAUAUGCCUCUUUUGGUCUGGAAGAACUGGGCUCCUCCCAAAUGUAAAUUUUUUGCUUGGUUGGCCAUCAACAAUAGGAUCUGGACGACAGACCGGCUUCAGCGUAGGGGCUGGCCCAACUGUAGCCUUUGCCCGCUAUGCAAACAAACGCCAGAAUCAGCAGCUCACCUUCUCUUCCAAUGUCGUUACACGGUUAGAGUUUGGGGAAUGAUCAAAACAUGGCUCGGUUUACAUGAUGUCCAUCCUAUAGAUUGGGGAGGCAUGGUUUCAGUCAAGGAGCGGUGGCGCAACAUAGCUUCCGGGAGGUCACAAUCUCGAAGGGCACUUCUUUCCCUUAUGCUUCUUAUCUCUUGGGAAAUUUGGAAAGAGCGAAGUGCACGUGUGUUCCGCAGCACGGAUAUUCCGGUCGGGGUGCUUGUGACUUGCGUCAAAGGGAAGCUUUGCUAUGGUGCCUUGCCGGGGCGAAAUAUUUGUGUAAUAUAA